UGUCUUCAGGGCAGGGUGUGAUUCCCGACCGGCGGUGUUUGGCAGAGGUGUCUGUCAUCAGUCCGCGAGCGCAAGCUGAUGUGGUGUGAUUCCACAGCCGACAGUAAAGUCUGGAUGGGAGAAGACG
This 127-nucleotide non-coding RNA is filed under the name uncultured Streptococcus sp. Its description in RNAcentral is "FMN riboswitch (RFN element)". It matches the Rfam family "FMN riboswitch aptamer (RFN element)". Rfam says of the family: The RFN element is a highly conserved domain that is found frequently in the 5'-untranslated regions of prokaryotic mRNAs that encode for flavin mononucleotide (FMN) biosynthesis and transport proteins. The record is from RNAcentral. Lineage: Bacteria; Bacillati; Bacillota; Bacilli; Lactobacillales; Streptococcaceae.